RNAcentral lists this ribosomal RNA (505 nucleotides) under uncultured bacterium. RNAcentral's name for it is "partial 16S ribosomal RNA". It matches the Rfam family "Bacterial small subunit ribosomal RNA", at positions 28 to 507 of the family's 1533-position model. The record is from RNAcentral.
GACGAACGCUGGCGGCGUGCCUAAUACAUGCCAGUAGAACGCACAGUUUAUACCGUAGCUUGCUACACCAUAGACUGUGAGUUGCGAACGGGUGAGUAACGCGUAGGUAACCUGCCUGGUAGCGGGGGAUAACUAUUGGAAACGAUAGCUAAUACCGCAUAAUAUUGAUUAUUGCAUGAUAAAUAAUUGAAAGGUGCAAUUGCACCACUACCAGAUGGACCUGCGUUGUAUUAGCUAGUAGGUGAGGUAACGGCUCACCUAGGCGACGAUACAUAGCCGACCUGAGAGGGUGAUCGGCCACACUGGGACUGAGACACGGCCCAGACUCCUACGGGAGGCAGCAGUAGGGAAUCUUCGGCAAUGGACGAAAGUCUGACCGAGCAACGCCGCGUGAGUGAAGAAGGUUUUCGGAUCGUAAAGCUCUGUUGUAAGAGAAGAACGGGUGUGAGAGUGGAAAGUUCACACUGUGACGGUAUCUUACCAGAAAGGGACGGCUAACUACGUG